CGUGAUCUAACAAGUAGCUGACUUUGCCACUCCCUUACUUGCUACCAGCUGGCAAAACAAUUAUUAGGUGCUUGGAGUGAACAGUAAACAUUUGACUCAAGGUUCAGAGGUCAGACGUUUAACUACUGGCUGGAAUGGUGGAAAGGGGGAAUGUAAGGAGAAAAGCUGGCCAUCGCAUGACACAACUAUAAACAGGCUUCAUUUGGUGAUACCUCCAGGUAUCAGAGGGACCAAGGCAACUAGGAUCUGGAGCAGACCACCACCAAACUGCAGCAGCCCUGUGGAAAAGUGGCCUGACUGUUAAAAAAAAGCAUCAACAAUAACAUCAACAAAAAAGACCCCACAAAAACCCCAUUCAAACGUCAGCUAUCACAGAGAUUGAAGAUCGAUAAGGCCACAAAGAUGAGAAAAAAAAUCAGUGCGAAAUUACUGAAAACUUAAAAGGCCAGGGUGUCUCUUCUACUCCAAAUGGCUGCAAUACCUCUCCAGCAAGGGCAGAGAACUGUGCUGAGGCUGAGAUGGCUGAAUUGACAAAUGUAGCCUUCAGAAGGUAGACAAUAAUAAACUUUGCUGAGCUAAGGAGCAUGUUCUAACCCAAUACAAAGAAGCUAACAAUCAUAGUAAUACAAUACAGCAAUGGAUAACCAGAAUUUUCAGUUUAGAGAGGAGCAUAACUGACUGGAUGGAGCUGAAAACACAACACUAGAACUUCACAAUGCAAUCACAAAUCUCAAUAGCAGAAUAGACCAAGAGGAGGAAAAAGUCUCAGAGCUUGAAGGCUAUCUUUGUGAAGUAAAACAGGCAGAUAAGAUAAAAAGGAAGAACCAAAACCUCUGAGAAAUUUGGGAUUAUGUAAAAAGACCAUACCUAUGACUGAUUGGGGUAUGUGAAAGAAAUGGGGAGAAUAAAACCAGGUUGGAAAACAUACUUCAGGGUGUCAGCCAGGAGUCCUUUCUCCACUGAGAAAGACAAGCCAAUAUUCAAAUUCAGGAAAUCCAGACCACCCCAGUAAGAAAGUCCAUUAGAAGAUCAACCCCAAGACAUAUAGUUCCCAGAUUCUCAGAGGUUAAAUGAAAGAAAAAAUGUUAAGGGUAGCCAGAGAGAAAGGCCAGAUCACCUACAAAUGGAAGCCUAUUGGGCUAACAGCUGACUUUUCAGCUGAAACCCUGCAAGCCAGAAGAGAAUAGGGGCCAGUGUUCAAUAUUCUUAAAGAAAAGGAUUUCCAACCCAGAAUUUCAUAUCCAGCCCAACUAAGCUUCAGAAGUGAAGGAGAAAAAAGAUCCUUUUCAGACAAGCAAAUGCUGAGGAAAUGUGUCACCACCAGGCCUGCCUUGCAAGACUUACUGAAGGAAGAACAAAAUGUGGAAAGUAAAAACCAUUACCAGCCAUUACAAAACCACAUGGAAGCACACAGGCCAGUGACACUAUGAAGCAACCACAUAAACAAGUCUGCAAAAUAACCAGCUAGCAUCAUGAUGACAGAACCAAAUUUACACAUAACAAUAUUAACCUUAAAUGUAAAUGGGCUAAAUGCCCCAAUUAAAAGACAUAGAAUGGUAAGCUGGAUAAAGAGUCAAAACCCAUUGGUAUGCUAUCUUCAAGAGACCCAUCUCACAUGCAGAGACACAUAUAGGCUCAAAAUAAAGGGCUGGAGGACAAUUUACUAAGCAAGGGGAAAACAGAAAAACCAGGGAUUGCAAUCUUAGUUUCUGACAAAACAGACUUUAAACCAAGAUUUAAAAAAAGAUGAAGGGAAUUAUGUAAUGGUGAAGGGUUCAAUUCAACAAGAAGUGCUAUUUUAAAUAUAUAUGCAAACAACACAGGACCACCCAGAUUCAUAAAGCAAGAUCUUAGAGACCUACAAAGAAACUUAAACUCCCACACAAUAAGAGUGGGAGACGUUAACAUCCCACUGACAAUAUUAGACAGAUUAUCAAGAUAGAAAAUUAACAAAGAUAUUCAAGAUGUAAAAUCAGCUCUGGAUCAAGUGGACCUGAUAGAUAUUUACAGAAAUCUCUACCCAAGCAACAGAAUAUACGUUCUUCUCAAUGCCACAUGACACUUAUGCCAAAAUUGACCACAUAAUCAGAAGUAAAACACUAGUCAGCAAAUGCAAAAGAACAGAAAUUGUAACAGUCUCUCAGACCAUAACACUAUCAAAUUAGAACUGAAGAUUAAGAAAUUCACUCAAAACCACACAAUUACAUGAAAAUUUAAAAUCCUGUUUCUGAAUGACUCCUGAGUAAAUAAUGAAAUUAAGUCCAAAAUCAGUAAGUUCUAUGAAACUAAUGAACGAAGAGAAAACAUACCAGAAUCUCUGGAUUGCAGCUAAAGCAGUGUUAAGAGGGAAAUUUAUAGCACUAAAUGCCUGCAUCAAAAAGCUAGAAGGAUCUGAAAUCAAUAACCUAAUAUCACAAUUAAAAGAAAUAGAGAACCAGGAGCAAACAAACUGCAAAGCUAGCAGAAGACAAGAAAUAACCAAGAUCAUAGUGGAACUGAAGGAUAUAGAAACACAAAAACCCCUUGGGAAAAAAAAUCAAUAAAUCCUGGAGCUGGGUUUUUGAAAAAUAAAUAAAAUACACUGCUAGCUAGACUGAUAAAGAAGAAAAGAGAAAAUCAUAUAGGUGCAAUAAGAAAUGAUAUGCAUAUGGGGAAUAUGACCAUUGACCCCACAGAAAUACAGCCAACCAUCAGAGAAUAUUAUAAAUACCUCUAUGCACAUAAACUCAAAAAUCUGAAAGAAAUGGAUGAAUUAUCGGAAAUAUACACUCUCCCAAGAUUGAACCUACAAAGAAAUUAAAUCCUUAAGUAGACCAAUAAUGAGUUCUGAAAUUCAGGCAGCAACAAACAGCCUACCAACCAAAAAGAAGCCCAGGAACAGAUGGAGUCACAGCUAAAUUCAGGCAGAGGUACAAAGAAGAGCUGGUACCAUGUAUAUCUAAACAAUUCCAAGCAAUCAAAAAGGAGCGACUCUUCCCUAACUCAUUUUAGGAAGCCAGCAUCCUCUUGAUAUCAAAACCUGGCAGAAAUACAACAAAAAAAGAAAACUUCAGGCCAAUAUCCAUGAUGAACAUUGAUGAAAAAUCCUUAAUAAAAUACUGGCAAACUAAAUCCAGCAGCAUAUCAAAAAUCUUAUCCACAAAAAUCAAGUUGGCUUCAUCCCCAGGAUGCAUAGUUGGUUUAAUAUAUACAAAUGAGGAAAUAUAAUCCAUCACAUAAACAAAACUAAAGACAAAAAUAAUAUGAUUAUCUCAAUAGAUGCAGAAAAGGCCUUCAAUAAGUGCAACAUGCCCUCAUGUUAAAAACUCCCAAUAAAUUAGUAUUGAAACAAACCUUGAAAUAAUAGCCAUAUAUGACAAACCCACAGACAAUAUCAUACUGAAUGGACAAAGCUGGAAGAACUCCCCUUGAAAACAAUGCCAGAAAAGGAUGCCCUCUCUUGCCACUCCUAUUCAACAUAGUAAUGGAAGUUCUGGCCAGGAAAAUGAGGCAAGAGAAAGAAAUAAAGAGUAUGCAAAUGGGAAGAGAGGGAGUCAAAUUAUUUUAAUUUGUAGAUGAUAUGAUGGUAGGUCUAGAAAACCCCAUCAUCUCAGCCCCAAAGCCCCUUAAGCUGAUAAACAACCUCAGCAAAGUGUCAGGAUACAAAAUCAAUGUGCGAGAAUUGCUAGCAUUCCUAUAUAGCUACAACAGGCAAGCAGAGAGCCAAAUCAUAAAUUAACUCCUUUUCACAACUGCUAUAAAGAGAAUAGAAUACCUAGUAAUACAGCUAACAAGGGAAGCGAAUGACCUCUUUAAAGAGAACUAUGAACAACUGCUCAAGGAUAUCAGAGAGGACACAAUCAAAUGGAAAAGCAUUUCAUGCUCACGGAUAGAAUCAAUAUUAUGAAAAUGCCUGUAUUGCCCAAAGUGACUUACAGAUUCAGUGUUAUUCCUAUUAAACUAUCAUUGACAUUCUUCACAGAAUUAGGAAAAACUAUUUUAAAAUUCACAUGGAAACAAGAAAGAUGAAAUAGCUAAGACAAUCCUAAGCAAAAAGAACAAAGCUGGAAGCAUCACACUACAUCACUUCAAACUAUACUACAAGACUACAGUGACCAAAAUAGCAUGUUGUUGGUACAGAAGCAAACACACAGACCAAUGAAACAGAAUAGAGAACUUGGAAAUAAGACUGCACACCUAUAACCAUCUGAACUUUGACAAGUCAGACAAAAACAAGGAAUGAGGAAAUAGGACUCCCUAUUUCAUAAAUGGUGCUGGGAGAACUGGCUAAUGAUAUGUAGAAAAUUGAAAAAGUAACUCAAGGUGGAUUAAAGACUUAAAUAUAAAGCCCCAAACUAUAAAAAACCCUAGAAGAAAAUCUAAGCAAUACCAUUCAGGACAUAGGCAUGGGCAAAGAUUUCAUGACAAAAAUGUUAGAAUUGCAAAAAAAACCCAAAAAUUCACUAAUGGGAUCUAAUUAAACUGAAGACCUUCUGCACAGCAAAAACAAAACAAAACAAAAACACAAUUACAUGAAAACUGAACUAUCAUGAGAGUGAACAGACAAUCUACAGAAUGGGAGAAAGUAACUGCAAUCUGUCUAUCUGAAAAAAGUUUAAUAUCCAGCAUAUAAAAGGAACUUAAACAUAUACAAGAAAAAGCAAACAUCCCCAGUAAGAAGCAGACAAAGAACAUGAACAGGCAUAUCUUAAAAAAAGACAUUCAUGCAGCCAACAAACAUAAGCUGAACAUCACAGAUCAUUACAGAAAUGCAAAUCAAAACCACAACGAGAUACUAUCUCACACCAGUCAGAAUGACACGUAUUAAAACGUUAAGAAACAACAGAUGCUGGUGAUGUUGCAGAGAAAACCAUAAAAUUUUACACUGUUGGCAAGAGUGUAAAUUAGUUCAAUGAUUGCAGAAGACAGUGUGGUGAUUCCUCAAAGAUCUAAAAAUACCAUUUGACCCAGCAAUCCCUUUACAAGGUAUAUACCCAAAGGAAUAUAAGUUAUUCUGUAAUACAGGUACAUGUCUGUGUAUGUUCAGUGCAGCAGUAUUCAUAAUAGCAAAGACAUGGAAUCAAUCCAAAUGCUCAUCAAUGAUAGAUUGAAUAAAUAAAAUGUGGUACAUAUAAGUCAUAGAAUACUACACAGCCAUAAAAAUGAAUGAGAUCAUGUCCUUUGCAGGUACAUGGAUGCAGCUGGAAGCCAUUAUCAGCAAACUAAUGCAGGAACAGAAAAAUAAACACUGCAUGUUCUCACUUGUAAGUAGAAACUUAAUGAUGAGAACACAUAGAUACUUGGUGAGGAACAACAUACACUGGGGCCGGUCGGGGGUGAAGAGAGGGAGAGCAUCAAGAAUAGCUAAUAGAUAAUGGACAUAAUACCUACCUGAGGAGAUGAUCUGUGCAGCAAACCACUCUGCACACAUUUACCAAUGCAACAAACCUGCACACCCUGCCCAUGUACCCCGGAUCUUAAAAGCUGGACAAAAAAGGCCAACCCCACCCCACAAACAUAGUGGUUUUCCCAGAGAGAGGAUCAAUUUGGGUCCUAGUCAAAGAGCUGACAGGAAACCUCACCUGUCAAUACUGAUCUGCUUGUGUGAGCACUGCACUGAUUUUGUCUUUCCAGUAAUGGAGAUCACUGUGAAACUUAUGAAAUAUUUGGAUAGAGUUCAUAAAAAUACUAAUUCAUUUUAACAGUCAUUUUUUGCAUUCCUACUAUAUGACACACACUUCAAGUAUGCUGGUGAUAACAAAACAAAAUAUUCCAUUCUGACACCAAGGAUCUUAAAUUAUGUCCAAUAGACUAUAAUAAAUAUGUGAGCAAAAUAUUACGUCAAUACAAUAAAGAAAGAUAUUUCACUCAAAAAACAUCUCCAGAAACAUUCUUUGGAAACAUGCAAUGGGAAAAAAUUUUGCUGUUUUUUAGUGGGGCACAGAUAGACUGAUUUCCAAAGUAAAUCUCUGGAAGGAAAAGCACUCAUAGUAAUUUUCAGAUAAUCCCUCAUAUAAUUUGCCCAAAUAUCUAAUUAAUUUAGUCAAAAACAUCUAUUCCUUGUAAUAAUAUAGACAAAGCUUAAAUACCUCAUAAGCUCAGUGUCCUAUAAAUUACCUAGUGCCUGACAAAUAAAAAAUAUAUUUCAAUAUUUGGCAUUAUGUACAAAAAGCACCUCAUAUAUUUAGACUGGUUGACUGAGUUAGGGGAGGGAAGGACUGGGGAGGGGAGUGGAGAGGUGAGGGCAGAGUGAAACCAAAUCCCUCCUGUUUAAUGGUCUCAUCUGACCCAGGGCCAGGCUGCCAAUAUAACACUCUCAAGUAGAGGAAUAAGGAUAAUGGAAUUAUUAACACAUAUUGAAAGGAUGCUUUCAGACAGAAUUUAUAUUACACCUGUUCAGAAUUGUGGUACAGAUAUUGAUUAGUGUUUUAAGUGGCAAAACAGUGAUACAGUUACUGAAGAACAAUUCACAUCAGAAAUUUAGUUACAAGGAGUUAAAUACUAUAAUGUGAAAGAUAAGCUAAAUGUGCUGUAUAAUUUUUUUUUUUUAAAUACAAUUUCAAGUCAGCUCACUGUGACCUUCGUCUCCUAGGUUCAAGCGUUUCUCCUGCCUCAGACUCCCAAGUAGGUGGGAUUACAGAUGCCCACCUCCAUGCCUAGAUAAAUUUUGUAUUUUUAGUAGAGAUGAGGUUUCACCAUGUUCGGCAGGCUGGUCUCGAACCCUGACUUCAGGUGAUCCACCUGCCUUAGCCUCCCAAAGUGCUGGGAUUACAAGUGUAAGUCAUCACACCCUGCCCUGAGUAAUUUUUUAAUAUUUUUCCUAUACUUUAUAAUCAUUUUAUAGUAUCCCUGGCUAUACCCCAGUAGAGUAAAACUUUUCAAGAAGAACUUAAUAUAGGUGUACUGGAUUAAACAUUCAAAUAUAUGUUUUUAGCCAAAAUUGGUUGCAUUUAGUAAUGUUAGAUCUUCAUGUUCAUUUGAAAACAAGUUACUUACAAAAGCAUUAAUUCAUUUUUUCAAGAAUGACUCUAAUUCUUACUAAUAUGACUCCAGAAAUAUCUUUAGUGUCACAGUCUAUUUAAUUUUUGCUUCCCUGCUCUUUCGUUACACACAAGUACACCUAUAUAUAAAAUGAGGCCCUCAUAGCAGUAGAAGCUCACCUUAAAUGUGCAUAUCAUGAACAGUGCUUACUGCUCAACUUCAUAUAGAAAAAAGUAUCUUAACUGCUGGAUUGUGGCUAGUUUUUAAACAUUUGCAACUUACUUAAACAAGAUAUUUUCCAUUGCUCCCUUAAUUUUUCUAAGUGGAAGGGAAUCAAGCCAUACAUAAGCUAAUUUCUAUUACACAAAAUUUCCCCUUUGCUGCUAACAGGUAAGCUUUAUCAAGACAAGGACAUUUUUGUUUUGUUCUCUGUUUUAUUUGAAGUUCCUAGAACCACGCUCAGUGCAUAGUGCUCCAUAAAUACUUAUUGAUAGACAAAAUGAAGCUGACAGUUGAGCAAAGACACAAAAGUGGUAAGAGAAUAAAUCAUGAGGAUAUCUACAGCAAACUUGAUUCAGAAGGAGGGAACAGAAAGUGAGAAAAGUCGACAGGAGUCAUGAGCAGCAAAGAUACCAGCGUAGCUAGAAAGAAUGAGUGAUGAUGGCAAAGUCAUAGAAAAGUAAAUCAAUGAUGGAGCUAAAUUUGAAGCAAAACAAUCUGGGUUAGAUCAGGUGUUCUUAACUCUUAAAUUCAGACCAAUAUCCAGCUCUCUCAUUUAUGAGCUAUAUUAAUUGGAGCAAGGUUCAGGAAUACACUCAAGCUCAGUAUUCUCAGUAGGGUUGAGGUAACUACCUCAUAGAAAUAUUAUAAAAGUUGAAGUGCUGUAGUGUAAAGCACCUUGCAAAUGAAUUAAUAAAUACUGGACUCCUUUUCACCCAUGUCCAUCCCAGUAUUUGUUGGGUGCCCUGCAGUGGUUUGGGUCAGAGAAGAACUCCAAAAAUACUACAAAAGUAUAUCUGCCACCAGUCCCCAAAUGUAAACCUGAGAACCAUUAGCAUAUGUAACCUACCAAUCUGAUGUCAGAUAAUAUUCUGAAGGAUUAUGAGGAAAUAAUAAAGUCCCAAACUCGGGUCAAAAACAGCUGGCAUUUGACCAAUUGUCUAAUCAGGGAAUUACCCAGGGAUGGACAAGAAAUUUUGAGUAAUGACUUAGCCUGCUGUCAUCCUCCAGAUAACUGAGUUUCCCAUUUAAGAAGGAUCUGUGGUGAGAGAUAAGGACCCAGGGCAAAGAUAAUCCUAAUUACAAUCCUAGACAGGGGACCUCCACUUUAUACUGGAAGUUCAAUGCCAGUUGUAUUCCUUAUGCUUCUCUUUAGCUCACAUGGAAGAAAGUAAUCAUUUGCUUACAGCAUUGGAAAUUAACCUUUGUAUGUAGAGUAUGGAGACUCAACAACAUCAAGUAAAAUUUAAAGGAUUAGAGGCCUUUAAUAUGAAAUUUCUAACUUCCAAUAACCCAGCAUAUUUUCAUAUUAUAAUAAUAAUACAUAUUGUGGUCAGCAUAAAAGAUAUUCAGAAAAUCACAUUUCCAUAUUUUCUAUAUUUCAAAAUGUAUGUCUGUGCAUAAGUCUUGCUCUCCCGUUAGAGAGCAAACUCAUUAAACAAUGAUUUUCCUGCCAAAGACACUCCUUCCCAUCCCUAACACAGUGACAUCACCAAUCACACUUCUAUGUUGAAGAAACUUACUAUUUGAUUGGCUCUCUGCAAGGAAAAAAAUUUCCUGGUUUGUAUGAAAAAUCCUGAAGAAGAGGAAUGCAGUCAAGGAAUGACAAUCAGGGCUGCCAUCCAUCAGGUUUAGGAGGUGCUGUGUUGAGAGCCCACAAUAUAUUUAGAUGUCUUGGAAAGUGUUUUAAUUUCUAUUAAUAUCAGCAAAACUAAAGAUUUAUAUUGAAGAAAAUGCUUUAAAAUAUGGUAUUCAUAUAUUCUAUAUAUUAAUAUAGAGGAAGGAGUACAUUCAGGCAAAUAUGCCGCUGUAUGCCACUAUAUGUCACAGUGUGACUCUGAACUCAAUAUACGUUCCAUGUUUAGAAUGGAAACAUUGCCAUGGGUUCUAGUACAGCUCUGCCAUGGCCAUCUACGAAAAAUAUAACUUAACUUCUAUUAAAGGUCAUCAAAAAGGCAGGCAGCCAUACAGGGAGGAGGCAGAGUUAGACUGGUACAAACACCAUCAGCCUAGAAAACCAGAGACCCUUUGAUCCCAGUUGGAGCCCUGCCUUCUUUUGGUCUGUGAGCCUGAACCACAGCUCUGCCCAUCCCAUCUGCUUUUAAACUGGACUUGGCAGCCUAGCUUUUGUAAUGCUGAGUUUUUAACUUCAAUUUGCUGCCUUUACCUCGCUCCAAUUUGUAUUUUCAAGUUACAGAUCUGAUCUUUAGGCUGGAAAUCAAAACUGAAAUUCUCAGAAAUUCCUUUAUAGAGUAGUUAUGUAGUAUUUAAACAUGUCCCUAGUUUAACCACCAAGCCAUAACAGCUUUGCAGGAAUGGGUCGUGCUUCAAGUCCUGAUACUGCGUAUGAAAGAAAGUACUGUUUCUAAAAACGGAUCUAAUUUUAGCAUAAAACAAACUACUACUUUGCUAAGCUCUCCAAAGUUCACAAUAUUUCUAUUCUGCUCUAAUCAGGGGAAAGCUUAGGAUUGGUGUUAUUUCAAGUUACUAAUUUUUAAUUAUUAUUCCAUAAUACCAGCCCUUCCCCUACUGUAGGUGAAUAAAGCUUGAAAAAAAAUACACACACACACACACACACACACACGGAGAGAGAGAGGGAGAGUAUUUUCUUAAUAUAUGUUUUUAAUUUUUGUGGGUACACUGUAGGUGCAUAUAUUUAUAGGGUACGGGAGAUGUUUUCAUACAGGUAUGCAAUGUGUAAUAAUCACAACAUGGCAGAUGAGGUUUCUAUCCCCUCAAGCAUUUAUCCUGGGUGUUACAAACAUGCCAGUUAUACUCUUUUAGUUACUUAAAAAUGUAAAAUUAAAUUUUCACUGACUAUAGUUAUCCUGUUUUGCUAUCAAAUACUAGGACUUAUUUAUUCAUUCCAAUUUUUUUUGUACAUAUUAACCAUCCCCACCACCUCCUCACCCCAUCAAUACCCUUCUCAGUCUCUGGUAACCAUCCUUCUACCCUCUACCUCCAUGGAUUACUAUUUUUUUUCAAUGGACAUAAGAAAUCAGGCCUGAAAAGGUUAAUUCUAGAAGAUAGGCUUAUUUUAUUUUAUUCAUUGUUAUUAAUUUAGUCAGGUACUCAGUCAGCAAAUCAUACUUAAUAUAUUCCAUGCCAAGUAUGCCUUACUUCUUUAGUUUUGUUUAUUUUGUACUAUUUCUGUCUUAUACCUGAGGUAUUACUGUGCUCUGAAUGAUACUUUAUAUCAAACUUUAUGUUAACCAUCCUUGAUAAGCAUGAAGAAAACUUAGUUUACAUCACUCUGAGGAGGGGGCUUCUGUAGAUUUGAUGGAUGUUGUAAAUCAGACUUAUUGGUUUUAAUGCAUAAGUCUUGCCCUGUUUCCCUGGGUUUGAGAUAGGAAAUCUGUAAUGGUUUAUACUGCUGGAUCAACAAUGGUCUAUACUGCUGGGUCAGUGGGUCAGUGCCUGUAAGUGCGAAUUCAGAGAAGGAAAUUCAAAAUAGUAAAGAUAAGUCAGACAAAUAGAAGGUAAAAAUUAGAUAAGUUUGGCAUUUUUCAAUUUUUUAGGAACUAUACAUAUUUUAAGGCAUGCAAAGAGAGGACACCCAUUAAUAAAUAUUAUUUUUUAUUAUCCAGAAUAAGAUAUGAAGUGAAAUCUUUUAUUUGCCAUGGAAGAGGAAGAAAGGGCUGGAAUAUUUUCUAGGGACAUUUUACAACCUCAGUCUGGAGCUGACAUACUACUUCUACUGACAUUUUUCUAGCCAAAAUUUGUCAUGUGACCUCCUAUUGUUUUCUGGGGCUAGAGAGUAUCAUUCUUAUAUCUAGGGUAGGGUUGUCAGAGUUAGCAAACGAAUAUGUAGAUCAUGAAGAUGAAUUUGAAUUUCAGAUAAACAACAAUAAUUCACCUACGCUAAAAUUUAUCCAUUGUUUAUCUGAAAUUUAAAUUUAACUGGUUGUCUUGUUUUUUACCUGACAGCCCUCCCACAAAAGAAAAAAGCCUUAGGAAGCCUUAGUAAUGGUUAUUUCAAUUCUCUAAUCAAAUGCUCUCAGAAAUUUUCUUUUGUCUGGGGAAAAUAUAUAUUUUUUGCCCCAGGGGAUUUCAUCUAGCAGCCCUUACAGUACACCACCUUGGCCCUGUCUUGUGUCAUUGAAAAAUCUGUUUACUAGUUUCAUUUCAUAAAUUCUGUUGUUUUCUAAUAGCACUUUUUAUUUUAUUUUUUUUAAAAAGCAUGGCUUGAAAACUGGAAUUACAGCUACCUAUAAGAUGGUAGAAAAAAACUUAGCUGCUAAAGUGUGUCCUGAGGAGUUUGUAGGCACCUGUUGACUCUUGUUGAAGGGCAGAGUUUGACUCAGGGAAAUAGCACAACUUGCCCCUGAGGCUCUACUCCAUGAACAGAGCAAAGUUUAGAAUGGAUGAGCAGCUUUGAAGACACACCAGAACAGAAGCAGUAGUUCAGGGAAUUGAACUUUUAGAGACUAGCUUAAAAAGUUGGUCCAAAGAGAUAUGCAUGAACGUGAAUUUUAGAAGAAAUGAUUUAAGGAUGGUGGGAGAAAUGUCUGGGGAGAAGGAGGUGAGAGGAUAGGUCAUACAUUCAAGAAAGACCAUACAUACCAAGACCAUUUUUGUGGUUUGGGGGAGAAUUAGUUUCUAAACUUCUAUAAUUAGAUAAGAGACAAAAUGAAUAUAAAAUCAAAGGUAUAAGUGCUUAAUAAUUAUUAGCCCUUAAUUACUUGUAUUGAUUCCAAGAUAGAUUUCUUUUCCCCACAGUCAAACCUUUCUUAAAUUCAGAUGUACCUUAAAAUCUAUGAAGUCUUAAAAUUGUCUGCUGCCAGGUGGUAGUCGUGACUUAGUGGUCUACACAGUUUCCUUUGACACCUUUUAUAAUAUCGAGUAAUUGCACCAACAUGUCUAUUACAGGAAAAACAAUUACAUUGAUAAACCAACCAUUACUAAAUAGCUUGCAAAAAAUAUGGUAGUGCAAAGGGAGCAGGUAAAAAAUAAAAUUCUUACAUGUUAGUCCUAGCAAUGACCACAAGCGUAUUUAUAGAAUGAUCCCCUCUUACCCCCAUUUCAAAAUUCCUACUCAUCUGGGGAGGUUGCAAGUGAGCCAUGAAAUGGGUUUGGAGCCAAGAAUACCUGAAAUAUCAGAUCUUGAAUAACUCCCUACAACAGACUGAAUGUUCAUGUUAAUAUUCAUAUGUGGAAACCUAAUCCCCAAUGUGAUGCUAUUUGGAAUGUGAUGGAUGAUAUUUGGAUGUUCGGCCUCUGGAAGAUCAUUAGGUCAUGAGGGUUACUGAAGGGAUUAGUGCCUUUACCAAACAGACCACAGAGAGUGCCCUCAUUUCUUCUGCCAAGUCAGGACACAAGAAGACUGCUAUAUUCGUCUGUUCUCGUGCUGCCAUAAAGAAAUAUCCAAGACUGGGUAAUUUAUAAAGAAACGAUGUUUAAAUGACUCAUAGUUCUGCAUGGCUCAGAAACCUCAGGGAAUUUACAAUCAUGAUGGAAAGUGGAGAGGAAGAAAGGUACUUUAUAAGGCAGCAGAAAGAAGAAGUGCUGAGCAAAAGGUGAAAGCCCCUGAUAAAACCAUCAGAUCGCAUGAGAACUCAUUCACUAUUAUGAGAACAGCAUGGGGGUUAUGUCCUCAUGAUUCAAUAUCCUCCCACCAGAUCCCUUCAAUGACACUUGGGGAUUAUGGGAACUAAAAUUCAAGAUGAGAUUUGGGCAGAGUCACUGCCAUCUAUGAAGUGGAAGAGGACCCUCACCAAAACCUGAUUAUGCUGGCAUCCUGAUCUCAGACUUCCAGCCUCCAGAACUGUGAAAAAUACAUUUCUGUCAUUUAUAAGCCUCUCACUUUAUGCUAUUUUGUUAUAGCAGCCCAAAUAAACUGACUGAGAGUGGAAUCUGUUUUGUCUUUUGCUUCAGUCACAAUUUUCCUAUUUCAAUUGAACCAAAGUACACAGUUUACUUACUGUAACAGCAGUAGUUUUGGUAGUCAACAUAUUUUGAGGAAAUUAGGAAAAGGGUUAUCAUCCAGUAUAAAUGGAAUAACACAUGUAAAGUACCAAGAAUGUGGCCUACCACAACAUUGAUAAAUGUUAUCAUUAUACUUGAUUUAUUUAUUACAUCAUCAUUCAACAUAAAUACUUUCUUUUUCUCCCAACUCUACCAAUCUGCUCAAGAUCCUGGACAAAUUCUUCUAGUCACUACUACUGAUUAUUUUUCUUGCACAUCUUCCUCCUUCCCCUUUUUGUGAACACAUUUGUAUACUCCUUAACUACGUUCUAAUUACGUUUUGUAUGGAAUCCAAAUUUCAUAAUUUCUGGGUCUCCAUCUUGACGGUCCUCCAGAGAGCUCUACCUCCUCAAUCUCAUUUGACACAUUGUCUAGACAGGUUUAAAUUCUAGCUCCAUGUAUUCCUAACGGAAGAAGUGCAAUUCUCACAUCUGUGAAAUGGCAAUAGUAAUUAUACUUAUUUCAAAAAGUUGUGAAGAUUAAAUGAUAAGAAUGCUUGAUACUUAAAUGGUACUAAAUAAAUACUAAUUCUUACCACAACUCUUAGUGCCAGAUACUGUCAAAUCUUGGCACCUUUAUGUACCUUCUACCCAAUUGUGUUUUCAAUUCCUCAAAAACAGCAAAUAUAGUCUAUGUGAGUCCCAGCACCAUGCUUUUAAUUUAAUGUGUUAAGCUAACACUUAGGUCUGCUAAUCUGGGGAUUUAAAAUGCAUGGCAUGAUCUGGGGAUCCUUGUGGUAAUAGAACUCUCUGUAUCUCAACAGC
Callithrix jacchus (white-tufted-ear marmoset) is the source of this 13907-nucleotide long non-coding RNA. RefSeq lists it as uncharacterized. NCBI's taxonomy places the organism in Eukaryota, Metazoa, Chordata, Mammalia, Primates, Cebidae. The record is from RefSeq and is a predicted model, not a curated record.